UACCUCCACACACCAUGACUUGCAGAAAAAGCAUACUCCAAAAGAAGCUGAGUCAUGCCUGCUCCAUAGCCAUCAGUUCAAUAUGCAACUUUCCUCUGAUUGGUCACAGUACUGUUGCCACUUUGAUAAUGAUCAUACCAUGUCAUUAUCUGCCAACAUUAACAGAAGCACUUCAGUCAAAAUAUUGGCUAGCAGAUAGGGUGGCUCCUGUGGGAAACUAAAUACUGCUACAGAG
Molecule: non-coding RNA, 235 nt
Organism: Jaculus jaculus (lesser Egyptian jerboa)
Lineage: Eukaryota; Metazoa; Chordata; Mammalia; Rodentia; Dipodidae
Source: RefSeq, a predicted model, not a curated record